UGGGGAAUUUUGGACAAUGGGGGGCAACCCUGAUCCAGCAAUGCCGCGUGUGUGAAGAAGGCCUUCGGGUUGUAAAGCACUUUUGUCCGGAAAGAAAACGCCGUGGUUAAUACCCGUGGCGGAUGACGGUACCGGAAGAAUAAGCACCGGCUAACUACGUGCCAGCAGCCGCGGUAAUACGUAGGGUGCAAGCGUUAAUCGGAAUUACUGGGCGUAAAGCGUGCGCAGGCGGUCCGCUAAGACAGAUGUGAAAUCCCCGGGCUUAACCUGGGAACUGCAUUUGUGACUGGCGGGCUAGAGUAUGGCAGAGGGGGGUUAGAAUUCCACGUGUAGCAGUGAAAUGCGUAGAGAUGUGGAGGAAUACCGAUGGCGAAGGCAGCCCCCUGGGCCAAUACUGACGCUCAUGCACGAAAAGCGUGGGGGAGCAAACAGGAUUAGAUACCCUGGUAGUCCACGCCCUAAACGAUGUCAACUAGUUGUCGGGUCUUCAUUGACUUGGUACGUAGCUAACGCGUGAAGUUGACCGCCUGGGGAGUACGGUCGCAAGAUUAAAAACUU
RNAcentral lists this ribosomal RNA (558 nucleotides) under uncultured bacterium. RNAcentral describes it as "partial 16S ribosomal RNA". It matches the Rfam family "Bacterial small subunit ribosomal RNA", at positions 355 to 902 of the family's 1533-position model. The record is from RNAcentral.